AAAAGCUCUGGUGUUUUCAAAUACAAAGACUUGAAUACAGUGAACAGAUUAUUCUAGGAAAGUUAAUACAAGGCUCCAAGACAUUGAUCAAAAUUCAAUGUACUACAUAUGUGAAGAUCUAUGGUAAGGAAAUAAUUCUUUCAAACCAAGAAAAACUUCAUUGAUCACUUUGUUUCCCUUUAAUUCAUAAAAUUCCCCAAGGCAUACAUUAAACAAGCCAUAUACAAAUCGCAUACCGUACCUAUUUAUUGGGUAUCAAACGAGCUCGUGGCAUGACGGGGGUGUUGAACUUGUUGCUGCAAUCCUGGACUACCAUUGCAUAUGCCUCUUGAUGAAGGCGGCAAAUGCACAUCACACAUAUGGGACUUGAAUGACACCAUCUGGUUCAUACACAAACUAUGAACUCCUGCCUGGGCUCAUCAACAUACUUACAUGUAGCUUUCCCAUCUCCAGCACAUUCCCCACCUUUAUGUUAAUCCCAGAUUCCGUAGUUUAUCACAGUUAGGAGUAGGUAUAUUCUUGUUCCACUGAUGUCUCUGGAGUUCCAUGUGACAAUGACGCCAAAGCAAGUUUCUAUAAUCCCUAAUUACGUUGUCCUCAAUGUUGGCUCUUGCAGGACUUCCAAUAGGAAAAUUGUCAUCAAAAGCUGCUGAUUUGACGAAGAACUCCAACCCAUGCUUCUCUGUUGCCUUGGUUAUUUGAUAGUAGUAAUUCCUAUGCAGUGAAUAAUCAGGCUCUGCAAACGGAAGGUAAGCAAGCACGAAAAUCAACAAGAAAGGCAAAAUCUGCAGGAGCAGUAGCUGUAGAUUAGUCCCUCCUCCAUUGAACUCCUCCCGGUGUCUACCACUAUUUCCUCCGCUUCUAUAAACAUGAUGAGCCCUAAACAUGUCAGUCUGACCAAAAAAUGACCUGAAUAUCUCAUCUGGAUCAAAAUCAUCAUCAUAAAACUCAUGCACAGUUCUCCUCCUCCUCGUCCGCCUAAGGUUGCUCUGCUGGCUAUACUCAAAGUCAUCAACUAAACCAGUCUGAUCAUACUGCCUCCUUGAACUAUCAUCGCUCAAGCACUUGAACGCCUUGCACACUUUUUUGAAUGCUUCCUCAGAUCCUGGCGCCUUGUUCUUAUCUGGGUGUACUUUCAAUGACAAUUUCCUGUAAGCCUUCCUAAUUUCCUCAACAGAACAAGUCUUUUCCACCCCAAGAAUUGCAUAGUAAUCCUUAUUCCUCUUGAUCUGGCUGAUCAAUUCCACAUGUUCUUCAGUAUAACUCCGCUCUCUAUUUAAACCCUUAUCAAUUUUAACGGGAGUAGGCCUGUUCUUAUCAUAAUCAACAACACGAUUUUCAUCAAGAGAAGAUGGACUGGACCCAGAAGAAUCAAGCUUCUCACAAGCAGCUAAAAGCUCAUCAAUAGACAAAUUAUGAUUCAGACGUUGGGCAAUUCUAAUAAAUUUCAAUGCUCGGUCUUUGUUUCCUGAGGCAAUUGCUUCUUCAGCAAUUCGAACACAUCUCAAAGCUUCAUCUUUGUUACCAUCCAUAGUUUUUCUACCCCAACUUUUUUUCUGGGUAAUACUCACUUUAAAAUUAAAACCAAUGAGCUCCAAUGGAAAAAUUAGCUCUAAUUCAAUACCUAAACUCGCCCAAUACAAUUCAUAAUCCGAGAGAAAUUAAAGUUUGAAUAUCAGAAAGGAAGACUGAACAGAUCACAGAAGAAUUUCGAUGAAAAGUGAAAUGGAUGGAAGUUGAGACUACCUGACAGAGAGAUUCAAACGUUCUGGAUACUGAAACAUCUAAAAAGAGACGGAAAUCAAAUGAGAUGAGUUAGGAACAGGAGAAGAUGACCCGAAGCACACGCUUGUGUCUGGAUUUGCUAUUUAUGAAAGGGUAGGCGAGCAGUCGUAGGCCUGGCCGCUCAGGCUACGGCUAUCAAGUUUCG
RNAcentral lists this unclassified non-coding RNA (1930 nucleotides) under Hevea brasiliensis (rubber tree). The record is from RNAcentral. Lineage: Eukaryota; Viridiplantae; Streptophyta; Magnoliopsida; Malpighiales; Euphorbiaceae.